UACGUAGGGGCAAGCGUUGUCCGGAUUUAUUGGGCGUAAAGAGCGUGUAGGCGGCCAGGUAGGUCAGCUGUGAAAACUCGAGGCUCAACCUCGAGAUGUCGGCUGAAACCAUCUGGCUAGAGUCCGGAAGAGGAGAAUGGAAUUCCCGGUGUAGCGGUGAAAUGCGCAGAUAUCGGGAAGAACACCCGUGGCGAAGGCGGUUCUCUGGGACGGUACUGACGCUGAGACGCGAAAGCGUGGGGAGCGAACAGG
Molecule: ribosomal RNA, 252 nt
Filed under: uncultured bacterium
Lineage: Bacteria
Description: partial 16S ribosomal RNA
Rfam family: Bacterial small subunit ribosomal RNA
Source: RNAcentral